CAAACUUGAAGUUUCCACGCAUUUUUAGAAGUUAUUAAUAUAAGUGAUAAAUUGAUGAGUCAGAGCACUGGGGCAUUCUUCACAGGAUAAAACCUCCCUUUAUGAAAUUAAAUCCUACUAAUUCAGAUCUUUCAUUUUAAUUUUAAGGAAUUCUGAAUUCGUGUAAUUACAUGCUCCCAUCAAAUCCACAUCUCCUCAAUUCCACAAGAAAAAUUACUCCUAUCUCUGAUGUCAGUAACAGACUUCCCAUAUACACUGUUGGGAAUGGAGAUAGCGACCCUGAUCCUGAGAAACAGGAGUCACCCAGACCAUCCUAUCCAGCACCUGUGGCCUGGGGAAUCCCAAGUUUCCAAAGGAAUCCAAAAGUGGUCCCACAGGGGGAAAAUGAUAGAAAUGUUGCCUGGCAGUCCCCUAAAUUUUGGAAGAAUCCAAAAUUGGCCCCACAGGGAGAAAACCACACUGAUGAUAGCGACCCUGAUCCUGAGAAACAGGAGUCACCCAGACCAUCCUAUCCAGCACCUGUGGCCGGGGGAAUCCCAAGCUUCCAAAGGAAUCCAAAAGUGGUCCCACAGGGGGAAAAUGAUAGAAAUGUUGCCUGGCAGUCGUUUUGGACGAGACGAAAAGUGGCCCCACAGGUGAAAAAAUUACCUAUGGUAAUACAAACAAGAUUGUUAUUUCAUAUCUCCUCUGUAUUCCUUCCAUGCAUUUUCACGCAUAAAUAUUUUCUUUUAAUUCUUUUUC
Molecule: long non-coding RNA, 741 nt
Filed under: Sarcophilus harrisii (Tasmanian devil)
Lineage: Eukaryota; Metazoa; Chordata; Mammalia; Dasyuromorphia; Dasyuridae
Description: lncRNA (ENSSHAG00000025070.1)
Source: RNAcentral